GGGACACGCUGCUGAUGAACGCUUUGCCAGAAGCCCAGGGAGCCCUAAUGUGCCUGAAGGAGAGGGACAGAUACAAAGAGCUCUGAGAUCGUGGCUGGCUUUCGAGGAGCAUUUCACAAAUACCUUCUUGGGACCAAUCGCAGUGCCAGCAGAGGUUGAUUGGAGCAGGACAGACACUUACGUUGGCUUGAACCUAGACCGGCAGGACUCAGAGCAAGGAAAGCGGGUGAAGCAGCGGGGAUCGGACCUGCGUAGGGAUGCCGGGAUGGAGCACGACCGCACGUCCUCCGUGGAGCUAUGGCCUCUUCUCGGUAAAAUGCCCUGUAGAUGUCACCAAAUCUCCGUGCACGAACCCGCGCUUGCGUCCUGUUUAUCCCUGGCAGCUGGACCACUGCGGAUGCUGCCCCGGUCCGGCUGAAAUGAUGCUGCGAUCGGGCCCCGAUUCCUGGGCCGAGCUGGUGGUGCCGGUGGCAUGGACAUCGAUGCUGAUGGAGAGCAGUUCCAGCCCUCGUGGGGAGCCAGGACCCGCUUCUUGGCCCUGCCUGGGGCCUCUCGUCCCUGUGCGUGGCUUUGGGGACCAUCCCUGCAGUGGGACAAAUCCAGGAGAGCCAGGAACGGAAACGGCGGAGCUGCUCACGGGGCUGCUCCUUCGCCCGCUGCAGGCUAAAAGGAGUUGACCGAGAUCGUCACAUCCUGCAUCAGGAAGUUCCACAGGCGAUGGGGAAAGAAGAAAUUAAACCGGAGCCUUUCUACCUUCACAGCUGGCCAGAUACGAUCAUCAGGACAGCCUCGUGUAGCAGCUGCUAUAGCGAAGCUCUUGACCGCAAAGUCAAACAGUAGCUGCUUUCUAAAUGGCAUGUUCUUCCAGUUGUGGCUCUUGUCACUUGGGCACGUAAACAUUUUUCACUCCUUGCCACCCCCUGGCAGCCUGGCUUUGCGAGGAAGCCAGAGUAAAUUUUGCUCAYGUGUGAUGUCCCGUAUACUCUGAUUGCUUUGAUUUGGCUGUAAUUGUCGUGAUUCACUCUAACAAAACAAAGUCCCCUGUUAGUGAUUGCUACCUUGUUUUUGAAACUGGAAAUCAGGCCACCACCUAGUGUGCUUAUUAUAUGGCAUGGAAAAUGGAGAUGUUUUCGAGUAAUCUGGCAAGGACCCUGAUGAGCUGUUAAGAGUCCUCCAGAAAGAACAGAAGAGGAAUUUCCAUGUGCAAAUGGCCCAUUUUCAUGCUGACUUUUCAUUUCUAUUUGUGGCCAGCACUAGGUGUUGCUAAUCGAAAGCCAGAAUUGGACUUAAGCCCUGAGGAAUGGAGGCUUUUCUUCCCGUGCUCAGCAAGCUGUGCUUUCCAAGAGGGUUCUCACCUGCUGCAUCAAAGUCGAACCUUGGCCGGUUCUCACUGGGACCUUGCUCUGGAGGUGGAGCAGCCUUUGGCAUCCCGUGCACCAGCUGCACUGUGCAAAACUGUGGGUUCGGUGUGAAAAUUUACCCGCAAAGUGCUUGCAGCUUGUGGGCCACUUCAGAUGUCACAUUUCUGCCCUAUUAUUUCAGCAAUAAGCUUUUGAAUAAGCUGUGAAUACUUUAUGGACAAAUUUUCAAACAAGCCUGGAUCCUUCAAAAACAGUCUUUCAUAGCUAAAUAACAGAAGUGGGUAGGAAGCAGAUUUUUUUUUUUCCUGUUUUGUGG
Apteryx rowi (Okarito brown kiwi) is the source of this 1677-nucleotide long non-coding RNA. NCBI's taxonomy places the organism in Eukaryota, Metazoa, Chordata, Aves, Apterygiformes, Apterygidae. The record is from Ensembl.